Molecule: non-coding RNA, 224 nt
Filed under: Halobacillus sp.
Lineage: Bacteria; Bacillati; Bacillota; Bacilli; Caryophanales; Bacillaceae
Description: T-box sequence
Rfam family: T-box leader
About the family: Uncharged tRNA acts as the effector for transcription antitermination of genes in the T-box leader family. T-boxes are found upstream of many aminoacyl-tRNA synthetase genes and some amino acid biosynthetic genes usually in Gram-positive bacteria.
Source: RNAcentral
AUUAACGCGAUGAUAGGAAAUAGUAGCACGUCCCUUCUCCUUGAAGAGAGUCAGUGGCUGGUGAGAACUGACGGGGAAGCCGUGUGAAUCCAUCCUUGAGUUGUGCAGCCGAAGUCCAGUAAGCUGUACCGGUGCUCACCGUUAUGAGUAGAAGCCGGAAGGUCAUGGUACCUUCAACUUGGGUGGUAUCGCGGGAAGCAUAUAGAAAAGCUCUCGUCCCUUUA